UACGGAGGGUGCGAACGUUAAUCGGAAUCACUGGGCGUAAAGCGCGCGUAGGCGGUCUGUUAAGUGGGAUGUGAAAUCCCCGGGCUUAACCUGGGAAUUGCAUUUCAAACUGGCCGACUAGAGUACGGUAGAGGGAGGUAGAAUUUCCUGUGUAGCGGUGAAAUGCGUAGAUAUAGGAAGGAACACCGGUGGCGAAGGCGGGAUCCUGGGCCAGUACUGACGCUGAGGAGCGAAAGCGUGGGGAGCAAACAGG
This 253-nucleotide ribosomal RNA is filed under the name uncultured bacterium. RNAcentral describes it as "partial 16S ribosomal RNA". It matches the Rfam family "Bacterial small subunit ribosomal RNA", at positions 524 to 776 of the family's 1533-position model. The record is from RNAcentral.